Molecule: ribosomal RNA, 473 nt
Filed under: Caeciliusidae gen. sp. KY382
Lineage: Eukaryota; Metazoa; Arthropoda; Insecta; Psocodea; Caeciliusidae
Description: partial 16S rRNA
Source: RNAcentral
AAGUCUAAUCUGCUCACUGAUAAUUAAAGAGCCGCAGUAUAAUGACUGUGCAAAGGUAGCAUAAUCAAUAGUUUUUUGAUUGAAAACUGGAAUGAAAGAUUGAACGAUAAAUUUACUUUUUUGACUUUAAAUAUUGAAUUUAAAUUUUAAGUUAAAAUUCUUAAAUAACUUUGAAAGACGAGAAGACCCUAUAGAUUUUUAUUUAUUAUUUAUUUAUAUAUAAUAAUGUAUAAUUAAUGAAUUUAAUUGGGGUGAUUUUGUAAUAUAUUAAACUUAAAUUAUUUAAACCAUAAAUAAUUGAAUUUUUUGAUCUAAAAUUUUUAAUUAAUAGAUUAAAUUACCUUAGGGAUAACAGUGUUAUAUUAUUUAAGAGUUCAUAUCUAUAAUAAUAAUUGCAACCUCGAUGUUGAAUUAAGAAGGAUAUAAAAGUAGAAGUUUAUAAAAUUUAGUCUGUUCGACUAUUAAAUUCUUAC